UACGAAGGGGGCUAGCGUUGCUCGGAAUUACUGGGCGUAAAGCGCACGUAGGCGGCUUUCUAAGUCGGGGGUGAAAUCCUGGAGCUCAACUCCAGAACUGCCUUCGAUACUGGAGAGCUUGAGUCCGGGAGAGGUGAGUGGAACUGCGAGUGUAGAGGUGAAAUUCGUAGAUAUUCGCAAGAACACCAGUGGCGAAGGCGGCUCACUGGCCCGGUACUGACGCUGAGGUGCGAAAGCUAGGGGAGCAAACGGG
RNAcentral lists this ribosomal RNA (253 nucleotides) under uncultured bacterium. RNAcentral describes it as "partial 16S ribosomal RNA". It matches the Rfam family "Bacterial small subunit ribosomal RNA", at positions 524 to 776 of the family's 1533-position model. The record is from RNAcentral.